RNAcentral lists this ribosomal RNA (497 nucleotides) under uncultured bacterium. RNAcentral describes it as "partial 16S ribosomal RNA". It matches the Rfam family "Bacterial small subunit ribosomal RNA", at positions 28 to 507 of the family's 1533-position model. The record is from RNAcentral.
GAUGAACGCUGGCGGCGUGCCUAAUACAUGCAAGUCGAGCGAACGGACGAGAAGCUUGCUUCUCUGAUGUUAGCGGCGGACGGGUGAGUAACACGUGGAUAACCUACCUAUAAGACUUGGAUAACUUCGGGAAACCGGAGCUAAUACCGGAUAAUAUUUUGAACCGCAUGGUUCAAAAGUGAAAGUCGGUCUUGCUGUCACUUAUAGAUUGUUCCGCGCUGCAUUAGCUAGUUGGUAAGGUAACGGCUUACCAAGGCAACGAUGCAUAGCCGACCUGAGAGGGUGAUCGGACACACUGGAACAGAGACACGGUCCAGACUCCUACGGGAGGCAGCAGUAGGGAAUCUUCCGCAAUGGGCGAAAGCAUGACGGAGCAACGCCGCGUGAGUGAUGAAGGUCUUCGGAUCGGAAAACUCUGUUAUUAGGGAAGAACAAAUGUGUAAGUAACUGUGCACAGAUUGACGGUACCUAAUCAGAAAGCCACGGCUAACUACGUG